GCCUCUGUGGCGCAAUUGGUUAGCGCGUUCGGCUGAUAAGCAAAAGGCUGGUGGUUCGGACCCACCCAGGGACA
Non-coding RNA from Hemiscyllium ocellatum (epaulette shark), 74 nucleotides. The record is from the annotation of a RefSeq genome assembly. NCBI's taxonomy places the organism in Eukaryota, Metazoa, Chordata, Chondrichthyes, Orectolobiformes, Hemiscylliidae.